Molecule: ribosomal RNA, 451 nt
Filed under: uncultured bacterium
Lineage: Bacteria
Description: partial 16S ribosomal RNA
Rfam family: Bacterial small subunit ribosomal RNA
Source: RNAcentral
GUGGGGAAUUUUGCGCAAUGGGGGAAACCCUGACGCAGCAACGCCGCGUGAGUGAUGAAGGCCUUCGGGUCGUAAAGCUCUGUCAGAGGGGAAGAAAUGCAGGGGUGCUAAUAUCAUCUUUGCUUGACGGUACCCUCAAAGGAAGCACCGGCUAACUCCGUGCCAGCAGCCGCGGUAAUACGGAGGGUGCGAGCGUUGUUCGGAAUUAUUGGGCGUAAAGCGCGUGUAGGCGGUUUGGUAAGUCUGAUGUGAAAGCCCCGGGCUCAACCUGGGAAGUGCAUUGGAAACUGUCAGACUUGAAUACGGGAGAGGGUAGUGGAAUUCCUAGUGUAGGAGUGAAAUCCGUAGAUAUUAGGAGGAACACCGGUGGCGAAGGCGGCUACCUGGACCGAUAUUGACGCUGAGACGCGAAAGCGUGGGGAGCAAACAGGAUUAGAAACCCGGGUAGUCC